ACGUCUUUCGGGGAUUUGAAUUGUUGAUCUUAAGAUUAAUGGAAAAUAUUUACAAGUAAAUAAACAUGAUAAAACAAAGAGCUAGGGAAAGGCAUUUGGCCCAAAUCUGGUUUUCUUGUCCGCCUGGGCCAGCAUUUGGGCCUUCGGCCCAUUUGAGUCACCUGCACCUGUCCUAUACUAAAGUAAAUAAAUAUUUUUUCUUUUUUUCUUUGGGCCUUAGGCCCAAUUUUUCACCUGUCCUAAAUUCUAACAAAAUAAUAAAACAUAAUGACUAAAUAGGCUUAGGCCCAAUAAUAACAAAAUACAAUUUUUGCAUAAAGAGUGGGCCUUUGGCCCAAUCUUUUCAAUUCUCCUCUGCUUUCAUAUUUUUUCAACUCUGGGACCUGUACGUCGAUUUUCAAUGGCCGGUUGAUUCGAUAAAGGAGUUUGAGCCUUCAUGGCUCUCCCGAAAUGCAAAAGGGGAGGCGAUAGGAGUUCAUAAUGAACUUGGACAGAUUUCACAUGCGACAAAAUGAUGAUAAAAAUUAGUUCCGUAGAAUAAUAAAGCAACAACAUGUCUAAAACAGAUCACACCAGUCCCCUAAGCCAAUAUAAAGCGAAUAAUUCAAUUGAACCCAAACAACAUGGAUCCAGAUAACGGGACAUAUAUUCGAAAGACACUAAAUGCUCUAGUCAUAUUAAUGAUAGAAUAAUGACUAUUCAAGCUGCUACUUUGGCACUAAAAAUAAUCCACAACAACACAUAUUAACCAACUUAUUUAGUGCACAGAUAUGCUAAUAGAAGAUGCUAACACCUAAAGCCAGUUAUUUAGGUUCGAUCACUUUACGAGGGGCAUCAUAGCUUAACGGAAAAAAAAGGGUAAUUAGGAGAGUACAUCAACUAUUUCACACAACAAAUUAACAUAAUGACCGUCAACAAAUAUAUGAACAAUAAAUAUAUAUUAUUAUUAUUAUUAUUACAUAUAUGUAUAAAUCCCGCAUACUUCCAGAUAACAAAAAAUUGGCAAUCUUUUAGAAUCCAUAUAAACCAAAAUCUAACCCACUAUGAUUAAACAAUUUGCCAACUAUGUUUUAACAUAUUUUUUGUUAAGCUACUAAACUAAACAAUUAUAAACAAACAUACAAAUCAUGCACCAGACAAAUAUUGACUCAUUGAUAAAGAAGACAAGCUGGAACUACUGUGAAUUCAAAGAAUGAUGUAGGCUAUCAUACUUAAAUGCGACACUAAGGAAAUCUAUCAAUAGUCGUGCUUAUAAAAAAAUUGGUUUCAUCUUAUAAACCCAAAACCAAAUUAGCAGUGAGAAGAAGAUGAAACACGUUGCCUCUUUCAAGACAUACCAAGUCACAAUAGAUUACUUCGGACAGAAGCAAAACGAACCUUACAAAAUUAAGAACGACAGACCAUUUAAUCAUUUAAAUGCUUUAAAGAUAUUCCGAGAACAACACUAGCUAUAAUCGAAUGAACCUUCCUAAGAUGCAGGGGACUAAGAAUAGCGAUGUAUUUUUAUUUAAACAAGUCUUUAAAAAUGGAACAAGACGAGCAAUAUUUUGAUUAAAAAAGGAAAGAAAUUAGACACAAUUGUCAAGCAAACCAAGUAUCAGUGACCAAGAUUCACAAUAACAGAGAGAAAACAACAGCAGACUAUCAAAAACCAUAACCUCUCUUAUUUAUCACAUUUCUAUACGGAUAACCAACAUUAACAGAAAACAGUUACAAAGAACAAAUGAGCUAUCAGCCUUAAAGAGUAACUAAGUUGAUCGAAACUAAGCAACACAGUGAGUAAACGAUUAAGAAAACCAAUACCAAAAGAAACAAGAGCCUAAUCGAAGAAACAAACCAAUGGAAUAUAGAUGAAAGUAGAGAUUACCUCUUGUUGUGCAGCGAAACAGGGGAGACGAGCAGAAAGGUAGCUUCCCACGACCACAACGAGAUUCCGACUCGAGCAACGAUC
This 1951-nucleotide long non-coding RNA is filed under the name Solanum tuberosum (potato). Its description in RNAcentral is "long non-coding RNA (STUB_LNC000629)". The record is from RNAcentral. Lineage: Eukaryota; Viridiplantae; Streptophyta; Magnoliopsida; Solanales; Solanaceae.